RNAcentral lists this non-coding RNA (793 nucleotides) under Dysmicohermes ingens. Lineage: Eukaryota; Metazoa; Arthropoda; Insecta; Megaloptera; Corydalidae. The record is from RNAcentral.
AUAAAGUUUUAUUUUGGCUAAAUAAUUUAUUAAUUAUAUAUUUUACAUGUAAAUUUUUGUGUGAAUUUAUAAUUUUUCUUAAUGAAAUUUAUAUAAAUAUUAUUCUCAGUAUUUGAUUUUAUAAAUUAAAGAAAUUUAGAUUUAGUAAUAAAAUUUAGUAUAGGUCAAUUUUGUGCCAGCAUCCGCGGUUAUACAGAAUAUAUAAAUGAAUUUUAUUAUUUUAUAGUUAAAUGAUUUAUUUAAAUUUAUUAUUUAUUAAUAAGGUGAAAUUUUUAAUAUUUUUAAUUUUAUAAAUUAAUUAUUUGAAGCUAUUAAAGUUUAAUAAUAAACUAGGAUUAGAUACCCUAUUAUUUAAAAUGUAAAAAAAAGAAAUUAGGUAGUAAUAGUUAAAGUCUUGAAACUUAAAAAAUUUGGCGGUAUUUUAGUCUAUUUAGAGGAACCUGUUCCAUAAUCGAUAGUCCACGAUAAAUUUUACAUAAUUUAAUUUAAUCUGUAUAUCGUCGUUAUAAGAAAAUUUUAUAAGAAAAUAAAUUUUCUAAAAUUUUUAUUAAAAUUUAUUUCAGAUCAAGGUGCAAUAUAUAAUUAUGAGGAAAUGGGUUACAAUAAAUUUAUUUAUGUUGGAUAAUUAAUUGAAAAAUUGGUUUGAAAUUGGAUUUAAUAGUAAUUUUAAUAAUAUAAUUUUUUUGAUUAUAGCUCUAAAAUAUGUACAUAUCGCCCGUCACUCUCUUUAUUUAAAUAAAAAGAGAUAAGUCGUAACAGAGUAGGUGUACUGGAAAGUGUAUCUAGAAUGAUA